AAGAGGAUGUUUUCAGGGAUCAUUUCUCCAGUUCACUACUGGAGAAGUUUAUCUGAAUGUGUGGAGCACUGGAAAUGUGAGGAGGAGGCACUGCACUCCCUGCUGAGAGUGAAGCUGGCUCUUGGUGUUGCUUUGCUGAAAUGGCUAUUAUUCACUGAUGGGUGUUCUUCUCUUUCUUCAGGAGAAUAAGAGGGAGAAAGCGCAGUCUGAGUGGU
This 215-nucleotide small nucleolar RNA is filed under the name Carlito syrichta (Philippine tarsier). Its description in RNAcentral is "Small nucleolar RNA U3 (ENSTSYG00000033750.1)". It matches the Rfam family "Small nucleolar RNA U3". Rfam says of the family: Small nucleolar RNAs (snoRNAs) are involved in the processing and modification of rRNA in the nucleolus. The record is from Rfam by way of RNAcentral. Lineage: Eukaryota; Metazoa; Chordata; Mammalia; Primates; Tarsiidae.